AUGCAAGUCGAACGAUGAAGCUCUUCGGAGUGAAUUAGUGGCGAACGGGUGAGUAACGCGUAGGAAUCUACCUUAUAGUUGGGGAUAACCCGGGGAAACUCGGACUAAUACCGAAUAAUCUCUUCGGAGGAAAGGCACUUGUGUCGCUAUUAGAUGAGCCUGCAUAAGAUUAGCUUGUUGGUGAGGUAAAGGCUCACCAAGGCUACGAUCUUUAGCUGGUCUGAGAAGAUGAUCAGCCACAUUGGGACUGAGACACGGCCCAGACUCCUACGGGAGGUAGCAGUAGGAAAUAUUGCACAAUGGGGGAAACCCUGAUGCAGCAAUACCGCGUGGAUGAUGAAGGCCUUCGGGUUGUAAAGUCCUGUCCUAGGGGAGGAAUAAUGACAGUACCCUAGAAGAAAGCACCGGCUAACUCCGUGCCAGCAGCCGCGGUAAUACGGGGGGUGCAAGCAAUAAUCGGAAUUAUUGGGCGUAAAGCGUACGCAGGCGGUUUAUUAGGUCAUAUGUGAAAGCCCUGGGCUCAACCUAGGAAUUGCAUAUGAAACCAAUAGUCUAGAGUACUAUAGAGGUAAGUGGAAUUUCUCGUGUAGCGGUGAAAUGCGUAGAUAUGAGAAGGGAACAUCAGUGGCGAAGGCGACUUACUGGAUAGAUACUGACGCU
Molecule: ribosomal RNA, 660 nt
Filed under: uncultured marine bacterium
Lineage: Bacteria
Description: bacterial SSU rRNA
Rfam family: Bacterial small subunit ribosomal RNA
Source: RNAcentral